GAUGAACGCUGGCGGCGUGCCUAAUACAUGCAAGUCGAGCGAACAGACGAGGAGCUUGCUCGUCUGACGUUAGCGGCGGACGGGUGAGUAACACGUGGAUAACCUACCUAUAAGACUGGGAUAACUUCGGGAAACCGGAGCUAAUACCGGAUAAUAUAUUGAACCGCAUGGUUCAAUAGUGAAAGACGGUUUUGCUGUCACUUAUAGAUGGAUCCGCGCCGCAUUAGCUAGUUGGUAAGGUAACGGCUUACCAAGGCAACGAUGCGUAGCCGACCUGAGAGGGUGAUCGGCCACACUGGAACUGAGACACGGUCCAGACUCCUACGGGAGGCAGCAGUAGGGAAUCUUCCGCAAUGGGCGAAAGCUUGACGGAGCAACGCCGCGUGAGUGAUGAAGGUCUUCGGAUCGUAAAACUCUGUUAUUAGGGAAGAACAAAUGUGUAAGUAACUAUGCACGUCUUGACGGUACCUAAUCAGAAAGCCACGGCUAACUACGUG
This 497-nucleotide ribosomal RNA is filed under the name uncultured bacterium. RNAcentral's name for it is "partial 16S ribosomal RNA". It matches the Rfam family "Bacterial small subunit ribosomal RNA", at positions 28 to 507 of the family's 1533-position model. The record is from RNAcentral.